This 207-nucleotide ribosomal RNA is filed under the name uncultured bacterium. Its description in RNAcentral is "partial 16S ribosomal RNA". It matches the Rfam family "Bacterial small subunit ribosomal RNA", at positions 568 to 774 of the family's 1533-position model. The record is from RNAcentral.
UGCGUAGGUGGUGAUGCAAGUCUGGUGUGAAAUCUCGGAGCUUAACUCCGAAAUUGCACCGGAUACUGCGUUGCUCGAGGACUGUAGAGGAGAUCGGAAUUCACGGUGUAGCGGUGAAAUGCGUAGAUAUCGGGAGGAACACCUGUGGCGAAAGCGGCGCACUGGACCACUUCUGACGCUGAGGCGCGAAAGCUAGGGGAGCAAACA